GACGAACGCUGGCGGCGUGCUUAACACAUGCAAGUCGAACGGAAAGGCCCUGCUUUUGUGGGGUGCUCGAGUGGCGAACGGGUGAGUAACACGUGAGUAACCUGCCCCUGACUUUGGGAUAACUUCAGGAAACUGGGGCUAAUACCGGAUAGGAGCUCCUGCUCCAUGGUGGGGGUUGGAAAGUUUCGGCGGUUGGGGAUGGACUCGCGGCUUAUGGGCUUGUUGGGGGGGUAGUUGCUGACCAAGGCUUUGAAGGGUAGGCGGCCUGGGGGGGUGGGCAGCGACAUUGGGACUGAGAUACGGCCCAGAGUCCUACGGGAGGCAGUAGUGGGAAAUAUUGCAGAAUGGGCGGAAGUCUGAUGCAGCGGCGCCGCGUGCGUGAUGACGGCCUUCGGGUUGUAAACCGCUUUCGCCUGUAACGAAGCGUGAUUGACGGUAAUGGGUAAAGAAGCACCGGCUAACUACGUG
This 468-nucleotide ribosomal RNA is filed under the name uncultured bacterium. RNAcentral describes it as "partial 16S ribosomal RNA". It matches the Rfam family "Bacterial small subunit ribosomal RNA", at positions 28 to 507 of the family's 1533-position model. The record is from RNAcentral.